UUGUGGUUAAGGAACUCGGCAAAUUGCCCCCGUAACUUCGGGAGAAGGGGGACCUCUGUUGGUGAUGGGCUUUACGCCUGGAGCUGGUGGGGGUCGCAGUGGCCAGGGGGAAGCGACUGUUUACUAAAAACACAGGUCCGUGCGAAGUCGUAAGACGAUGUAUACGGACUGACGCCUGCCCGGUGCCGGAACGUUAAGGGGACCGCUUAGCCGACGUGAGUUGGCGAAGGUGAGAACUUAAGCGCCGGUAAACGGCGGUGGUAACUAUAACCAUCCUAAGGUAGCGAAAUUCCUUGUCGGGUAAAUUCCGACCUGCACGAAUGGCGUAACGACUUCCCCGCUGUCUCAACCGCAGACCCGGCGAAAUUGCACUACGAGUAAAGAUGCUCGUUUCGCGCAGCAGGACGGAAAGACCCCGGGACCUUCACUACAGCUUGACAUUGGCGUUUGGAACGUCUUGUGUAGGAUAGGUGGGAGACUGGGAAGCUGUCACGCUAGUGAUGGUGGAGUCAUUGGUGAAAUACCACUCUGGUCGUUUUGAACGUCUAACUCUGGUCCGUGAUCCGGAUCGGGGACAGUGUCUGGUGGGUAGUUUAACUGGGGCGGUUGCCUCCUAAAGAGUAACGGAGGCGCCCAAAGGUUCCCUCAGCCUGGUUGGCAAUCAGGUGUUGAGUGUAAGUGCACAAGGGAGCUUGACUGUGAGACUGACAGGUCGAGCAGGAGCGAAAGCUGGGACUAGUGAUCCGGCAUCGGCGUGUGGAGGCGGUGUCGCUCAACGGCUAAAAGGUACCCCGGGGAUAACAGGCUGAUCUUCCCCAAGAGUCCAUAUCGACGGGAUGGUUUGGCACCUCGAUGUCGGCUCGUCGCAUCCUGGGGCUGGAGUAGGUCCCAAGGGUUGGGCUGUUCGCCCAUUAAAGCGGUACGCGAGCUGGGUUUAGAACGUCGCGAGACAGUUCGGUCCCUAUCCGCUGCGCGCGCAGGAGACUUGAAGGGGGCUGUCCCUAGUACGAGAGGACCGGGACGGACGAACCUCUGGUGUGCCAGUUGUACCGCCAGGUGCACGGCUGGUUGGCUACGUUCGGAAGGGAUAACCGCUGAAAGCAUCUAAGCGGGAAGCUCGCCUUGAGAUGAGGUCUCCCACCACGAGAGUGGGUAAGGCUCCCGGUAGACGACCGGGUUGAUAGGCCGGAGGUGGAAGCACGGUAACGUGUGGAGCUGACCGGUACUAAUAGGCCGAGGACUUGACCU
This 1248-nucleotide ribosomal RNA is filed under the name metagenome. Its description in RNAcentral is "bacterial LSU rRNA". It matches the Rfam family "Bacterial large subunit ribosomal RNA", at positions 1699 to 2925 of the family's 2925-position model. The record is from RNAcentral.